UUUAGAGUCGGUUGGGUGAGGGGAAGGAGAGAAAAGAAGGUGGAAAAGUGCCUCUCUAGCCUUCUCUCUGGGGCCUUGCUCAGCUUGAGCUGGGGAAGUCACUUGGAGGCCUGUGGAAUAUAAGGACACAGGACAAAAGGGUACUGAGGUGGGCCAUCAGCUGUACAUAAGCUUGAACCCAAGGAGGAAAGUACAUUAAGGCCUUUUGGAUCCCCUCCAGCACAUGCGAGGUGGGUUUUAAUGAGAAGAGAGACUGCCCCUUUGUCUCUGUGUAGACAGUCCCCUUGUCCUUCAUCUACCAAACAAACGGUUGACUCGAUUGAAUCCCAGAAGAUAAAAGAAGUUUGAGAAUCACUGGACUAGAGACAAUUAAUUAAAGAAUAUAGGAAGAAAGAGUUUAGAAAACAAUGAUGUCUUUCCUCAAGAUACCUGGAUUCAGCUGAAAUUAAAUUUACUUUGGGAAGAAUUCCAAUAUGGUAAAUUAGAAGCACUGCCAAACCACCGCCCAUAUCAGGUGAAAAGGAAGAAAUAGUCAUUUUAAGAGCCUGGAAUCAUGGAGGGAUUUUCUAAGGUGGUGGAAGGCUUGGAAGUAGAGGCUGGAUGGCCAUCUGUUGGGGAUGCUCUUGGUUUGAAAUGAUUUCCUACAUCGAGCAAGGCAAAAGAACAACUGGGAACUCCUUAAUGGUGGUAUGUAAUGGAAUCACUGUGGGUAGUGUGCACCUCUACAACACACCUGUGCAUUUUUCUUGGGUGUUACUUAGAGUCACAUUUCCACAACUCUAAGCCAAAACAGAGUGGGAGAAAACUUUUUUUAAAAAAGAUCUGGAACAGGGUGUUGCACUGGAUGGCCUACAAGAACCGGUUCUAUGAUUCUGUGGAUCUACAGAGGAAGUUAUUGCAUUACCCCUUUUGAAUAUCCUUUCUCUUAAACAGAUGUAUAGCACUGAGAAUUACAGAACUGAGAAGCAGCAUGCACUUUCAGUUGUAUCUUUGUGCUGUUCGUUACAUGCAUUGUCUUAUUCUCAUGUUUCAUUUGAUGGUAGUAUUACUGAUACUUAUCUGUUCCUAUGCUGUGUCAGAGAUAUGGUGAAUGUUGUAAUUUAGUAGUCAUUUUCAAAAGAUUCAGAGGAACAUAUCAGAAAAUACUGGCACUGACUAAUACAUCUCGCAGCCAACACAGUGCCUUCAGUAAAUGGCAAAAUUUCAUUCACCAUUUUCGUCAUUUGCCAGUUAAAUAUAUUUACCAUUAAACUGGUUUAAAAGUUGUUGUUGUUUUUUAAAAGGCCCAAUGACACACAAAAAGUUGACAUUUCCAGCUGGGUGAUCUUAAGAAUUACUAGUAAAUACCAACAACUGGUAUCAAGUUUCUGAUACGAGAUGCAAUGCUAAGUGCUCUAAAAAAUUAUAAAUUAAUACAGCACCCAGAUAUAAACGUAAGGAUCAACUGAUAAGCCAUUGCUCUAAAGAACUACUUAUGCCAUGAGACAGAUGUCACUCUCUGUGGAGUACUAACUGGCUCCUCAGUUGCCAGCCAGAGCUUAUAGUGAGGUUCAUUACUUUGUUCAUUAAAUUAGCUGGCACUCUACUUGUGUUGGAGGGUGAUGAGACCUGGCCCCCUAGCCUCUCCUCAAAGUGUUCCUUCAGUAAAUGUAGUUGUUGAGCAGGAUUUUAAGCACUGUGCAUUAAAAGAAUCUGUACUGUUCUGCAGUUUUCCCAAACACUGAUUAUUGAUGGUACAAAACACAGAAGGAGAAAGCUUGGGGAAUAUAUAACAAUCCCUGCUGCUCUGAGAUCAUGAUCUAAAUUAAUUUCACUUAUUACUUUUUAAUCAUUUCUAACCACAGGCACUAGAAUAGUUUUCAGGAAAGUAAUUUCAAUUGCUGAGUGCCCUGUUCAGCACACAAUAAUAAAUUUAUUUUUAUAGCCUAUGGCACGCUAGGUGCACAAGUA
Long non-coding RNA from Hemicordylus capensis (graceful crag lizard), 1950 nucleotides. RefSeq lists it as uncharacterized. The record is from RefSeq and is a predicted model, not a curated record. The transcript is spliced from 4 exons. Lineage: Eukaryota; Metazoa; Chordata; Lepidosauria; Squamata; Cordylidae.